RNAcentral lists this ribosomal RNA (400 nucleotides) under uncultured bacterium. RNAcentral's name for it is "bacterial SSU rRNA". It matches the Rfam family "Bacterial small subunit ribosomal RNA", at positions 975 to 1375 of the family's 1533-position model. The record is from RNAcentral.
CUGGACUAGACAACAGUGGACCGUCCUAGAAAUAGGAUUUUCCCUUCGGGGACCGCUGGUUCAGGUGCUGCAUGGCUGUCGUCAGCUCGUGCCGUGAGGUGUUGGGUUAAGUCCCGCAACGAGCGCAACCCUCGUACUUAGUUGCCACCAUUAAGUUGGGCACUCUAGGUAGACUGCCGGCGUUAAGCCGGAGGAAGGUGGGGACGACGUCAAGUCAUCAUGGCCCUUAUGUCCAGGGCCACACACGUGCUUCAAUGGGCGGCACAAAGGGUCGCGAACCCGCGAGGGGGAGCCAAUCCCAAAAAGCCGCUCUCAGUUCGGAUUGGAGUCUGCAACUCGACUCCAUGAAGUUGGAAUCGCUAGUAAUCGCGGAUCAGCACGCCGCGGUGAAUACGUUCCC